UUGGAAACUGGGUCUAAUACCGGAUAGGAGCCAUCUUUAGUGUGGUGGUUGGAAAGUUUUUUCGGUGUAGGAUGAGCUCGCGGCCUAUCAGCUUGUUGGUGGGGUAAUGGCCUACCAAGGCGGCGACGGGUAGCCGGCCUGAGAGGGUGUACGGCCACAUUGGGACUGAGAUACGGCCCAG
Molecule: ribosomal RNA, 181 nt
Filed under: uncultured Actinomycetales bacterium
Lineage: Bacteria; Bacillati; Actinomycetota; Actinomycetes; Actinomycetales
Description: partial 16S ribosomal RNA
Rfam family: Bacterial small subunit ribosomal RNA
Source: RNAcentral